GACGAACGCUGGCGGCGUGCUUAACACAUGCAAGUCGAACGAUGAAAGAGGAGCUUGCUCCUCUGGAUUAGUGGCGAACGGGUGAGUAACACGUGAGCAAUCUGCCCCUGACUCCGGAAUAACUACGGGAAACUGUAGCUAAUACCGGAUAUGCGCCGAACAGGCAUCUGUAUCGGUGGGAAAGAAUUUCGGUCAGGGAUGAGCUCGCGGCCUAUCAGCUUGUUGGUGAGGUAACGGCUCACCAAGGCGACGACGGGUAGCCGGCCUGAGAGGGUGACCGGACACAUGAGGACUGAGAGACGGAGAAGAAUCCGAGGGGAGGCGGGAGGGGGGAAGAGUCCACGAGGGCGGGAAUGCGGAUGCAGCAAGGCCGAGGGCGGCAUGAAGGGGUUGGGGGGGGAAAGAGGUUUCGGUUAGGACGAAGAGGGAGGGACGGAAAUGGGUAAAGAAGCACGGGAUAACUACGUG
Molecule: ribosomal RNA, 468 nt
Filed under: uncultured bacterium
Lineage: Bacteria
Description: partial 16S ribosomal RNA
Rfam family: Bacterial small subunit ribosomal RNA (bases 13-373)
Source: RNAcentral